This 429-nucleotide ribosomal RNA is filed under the name Bacillota bacterium. RNAcentral describes it as "Firmicutes bacterium partial 16S ribosomal RNA". It matches the Rfam family "Bacterial small subunit ribosomal RNA", at positions 355 to 776 of the family's 1533-position model. The record is from RNAcentral. Lineage: Bacteria; Bacillati; Bacillota.
UCGAGAAUUUUUCUCAAUGGGGGAAACCCUGAAGGAGCGACGCCGCGUGGAGGAUGAAGGUCUUCGGAUUGUAAACUCCUGUCAUUGGUGAACAAGGCCCACGCAGUAACUGGUGUUGGGUUUGAUAGUAGCCGAAGAGGAAGAGACGGCUAACUCUGUGCCAGCAGCCGCGGUAAUACAGAGGUCUCAAGCGUUGUUCGGAUUCAUUGGGCGUAAAGGGUGCGUAGGCGGCAGGGUAAGUCUGGUGUGAAAUCCCGGGGCUCAACCCCGGAACUGCACUGGAUACUGCUUUGCUAGAGUACUGGAGAGGGAACUGGAAUUUACGGUGUAGCAGUGAAAUGCGUAGAUAUCGUAAGGAAGACCAGUGGCGAAGGCGAGUUCCUGGACAGUUACUGACGCUGAGGCACGAAGGCCAGGGGAGCAAACGGG